This 4591-nucleotide small RNA is filed under the name Pyricularia oryzae. RNAcentral describes it as "Magnaporthe oryzae sRNA M_BR32_EuGene_00146271". Lineage: Eukaryota; Fungi; Ascomycota; Sordariomycetes; Magnaporthales; Pyriculariaceae. The record is from RNAcentral.
AAAUUUAUUAUUUUCGGAACUACGUUCCAAUUUAAAUGGCGCCCACAAUAAAAAAUUCUAUAACUAAUUUCGGAAAAUAUAGAAAAUUCGGCCAAAAUAUCAAAAUAACGAUUAAAAAACUUAACAAAAGUUGUAAAAACGAUACAACCGUUUUCGAGUUUUUCGUUUGUUAUAAAAAAUAAGUUUUAGGAUUUUUAAACGCGAAAAAAAAAAUUGCCGGUGUUGGAAUAAAAGGGAUUGCGUUUAAUUUAUUAAUUUAAUUGGUAAUUUACGUGUGGACCCGCACGUAAUUUAUCCGACCUUCGAUUACGGGUAUAAAAGGAGAAAAACGAUUAAAAAUUCGAACGUAAAUAAAUUAGUCGUUAAAUAAGAAUAUAUUACCUUUUACCCAAUAAUAACGUUUUAUUAAUCGAUCGAUCUACGAAAAACCUAUUAAUAUUAACGUUAAAAUAAGAAAGUAUGUUUAAAUCCCCCAGCCGUGGAAAAAUAAUUGUAUUUAUAUUUUUUACAAAUUGGAAAAUUUCUUUAAAACGUUUGGAAAGGUCGACCACAUUAUUUUUGGCCUCCGUGGCGGUGGCAAUUGGAGCAUUUUCAUUAUUAAUAUUGGACGGUUUUUGCGUUUUUAAAAUUUUUUGGGAUUUAACCGAAACCGGCUCGUCCCCAAUUACGAUUUUUGGCAUAGGAUUGUUUUUGGUCGAAGCGUUAAAUAUUUUUAUAAAAACGUUGGUAAAUAGGCCGUAAUCCAAAAAUGCACAAAGAUUUGUUACAACGAUUUAAUAUCCUACUUUUAACCAGCAGCGUGCACCUUUGGCCACAAUUAGGUCGAAAUUCGAAAAAAAUUUAUUGCGCGCAUUUUCGAGAUCUUCGGUGUUUUUACCGGUAAAAAAAAUCCCGUAACACCUAACCAACGCACGAUUAACGGCGUGCAAUUUACCGUACAUACCAACCAUAAUAGGUUCGAAAAGGGUAAAAAUUAAGUCCCUGGCGUUAUUAAAGGGAAUGGGCAUAUAUAAACUUUUGGCGUAAUAAAAAAACUAUGCUAUAAUAUUAGAUUUCGCCAAAAUUGCUAAAUAGUAAUAUAAGCGUCCAAUAGUGGGAAUUUUAUCGUUAAUUCGCGAAUACCAAUUACGAAAAACAAUUGUCCAAACUUCCCUAUCGCGAAUAUUAUCGUCCUCGAUGGCCAUUUUAAAUUUACGCAAUACCAAUUAGGCGGGCAAUUUUUCAAAAAAACAAAAUAUAAAAAAGGGCGUAUUUACUUAUAUCGUAAAAAGUUUCCCAAACAUUUUAUCCAAAUAUAUUUAAAAAUUGGUACAAUUUUAUAUAAAAAUACCAUUAUAAAAUACGAAAAAUAAAUAAAUGUAAAUAUAUAUUUAAAUAAAUAUGGUAAACGGUGCUUUAAAAAUUCCAAAUUUCAAAUAAAACAAAAAAUUAAUUUCGCCUGCCUCGUAUAAAAAAAAAAAAUAAAAAAAAAAACCGUAACGAAAUUUUUAUGGAAUUUUACAAAUUAUGGAUGCCGUAUUGCUAUAUGCGCGCCGGUAUUGCAUAUUUAACGGCAAAUCGUCGCAACGCUCGGCUUGCCGAAAAAUGCUGCGAAGCGAAAAAAAAGUCGUGGUGCUCGUAUAAUAACGUCCGGUGCAAAAUAAUAAAAAUUUACCAUUGGUCGGUAUUAAAUUUGGGGAAAACCGAACCGUUAUUUAGUAAAUUUUGUAUAUUAUCGACUUUUAUAUAUUUAUUUUCGAUUAUAACAAAAUUAAAUUAUAACAAAAUUAGUCCGAAAUAAAUUUGCCAAUUUCCUUUUAUAAUUAACUUAAAUAUACGCAAUAGGCCCUUUCGCCAUACAGGUGGAAAACCGCCCGUAUAUUAUAUUUGGUCCCCGCCGGCCGAAAUUUACCUAAUAUAUAUACCUUUGAUUUUAAUUAUUAACUGUUUCUAACUUAUAUAAUAUAUUUUUGGUUGUUUUACCAAUUCGUUAAUUUUGUGGAUUUUACCGGUCGCGUUAUUAACCCCGCCCCCACCUUUUAAACCCGAAACGCGCCGGUUUUGUUGGCCCGAUGGCCCAAUACGCGCAUUAUUUAUUAUUCCGCGUAAUUAAAUGGUGGGGGUUCCCACCACCGUUUGUAAAUUUAUUAUUUCCAGGGUUUUAUCCUACCAACGUGAUUUGCGCGCCCGGGGUAUAGGUUCGAAACCGUUAUUGGGAUUUGUAACCGGUCCUUUUAUUAUUUUUUAAUAUGCGGUUGCUAUUAUUAUUUGGGCAAUUAAAAGGGUACUUUUGGAAUUUAACGACGCGUUUUUCGCAUUGGUUAACAAAAUUGGUUUUUGUAAAAAAAACCAUUUUUGCCUUUUAAUUUUCGGUUUGUUUAAACCAGCGUGGGGGUCCGCGUUUGGGGUAAACGAAUUUUUUAAUUUUAAUAUUCCAAUUCCCCGCUUAAAAAAUCCAACCUGUUGGGGAAAAUAUUAAUUGGAUAUCCGUUUAAUACCAGCCGGUUGCGGGCGUUAAUUAAAUUAAUUAUUCGGUAUAUUUCCUUACUCCAAUGUUUUGGGGAAAAAAAAUCAAAUAAAAUGUAAUUUACGGUUUGCGUUAUUAAAAUUAAAAACGCAAAUAAACGAUAAUAAUAGUUGGAUUUUAUAUAUUAAUUAUUUACCGCAUAAUUUUGCCUUUGGUUUUCCAAAAACUAGUCGGUUACCUUUUUUUUGCGAAUUGCACGGGCGAACGAAUAAAUUGCGGUUUAAAUAUAUGCAAUUUUCGGGCAAACCGAGCCGAUAAAAUAAUUUAUACCGUAAAAUAAUUUUAAUUUAUUUAUUGUAAUUAGCGGGCGGUUUAACGUUAUUUAGCAAAUAUAACGCGUUUUAGGUUUUCUUUUACCUAGUUUUUGUAAAAUUGCAAAUAAAUCCUGGUAUAAUUCGAAAAUAAAUGGAAACAGCCGCCGGUUUUAAAAACAAAUUAUAACAGUUGGGUGCCGAAUUAUUUUUGCAAUUAAAUAAUAUAUUUAAAAAUAAUAUAGGUAACUAUUUCCGGAAGGCUGAUUUGCAUCCAUUAUUAAAUACCUUAUUGCAACUUUUUAUUACAUUCCAAAUGGGAACAAACAAUAAAAAUUAAAUUAAUUUGUCCAUUUCCAAAUCUGGCCGGGCCAAAAGGCUGUUAUAUUUCCAAAUUUAUUAUACCGGUUUUUAGCGAUAGGUAGGUUAAUUAAACCAUUAAAGUAACAGGUAUUAAUAUUUAUUUACCCCUAUAUACGGAAUACCAUCCGGUUUUCCGCCAAAUUAUACCUUAUCCAAUACCAAUCGGCAGCGGCAAUAUUUACUAUUUCGGUCAUUUUAUAUAAAAAUCGGGCGCACGCUAUUUAAAAUUACAAUCGGCCUCGAAACAGGCCUAUUUGAUUUUUAUCGAAGCGAUUGGUCGACCACGAUUAAAAAAAAAGUAUAUUUAUUAACCGGUGCGAAGUUAUAAUAUAACGUAUUAAAAUUUUAUUUUGAAAUCCCUACGGAUUAUCGAUAUUAUUAUUAAUAUAAUUGAAAAAUUAGGGGUAAAUUUAAUGUUGAUUUUUUUGCAAAAAUCUUUUAACGGGCUCGUUCCUACUGGCCUUCACCUCCACGGAGCAUCCCGGCGUUUAAUUUGGAUAUAUUUUUUUCGAUUUGCAUUUGGCAAAAUUUUUCGCCCUUUUUGUUUUGCGAAUGCGGUAUAAAUUGACAAAAAAAAAUUAUAUAAUAUUUUAGGGGUAUUUUUUUGGCAUUUUUUUGCACUAAAUAAAUGGGCGAAAAAAAUUACUUUGGUAUUGCGUUAUAAAAUUUUAAUAAAUUUUAACGCGAUUUAUACCCCAACGCCGUAAUACCUUUUACAGGAAUUUAACCUUUGCACAACCGCGUUGGCGAACCAUAAUAAAUAAAAAUAACCACCAACGAUUUAACCUGGCCUGAGCGGUUUCAAAACCCGGUUUUGAUUUUCGCGGCUAAUUGGUCCCAAAAAAAUCCCAGGGAAAGGCCGAACGUAUUCCGGAAUAUUUGCCCUCGGCCUCCCCGAAAUUACGUUGCCGUUUCUGGUUUUUUUUCAGGUAAAAAAUACGAGCCAAAAAUGAAAUUUCUUUUUUUAAUUAUUAAAUAAUAUUUCGGUAUUAGGUUCCUACGACGUAAAAUCAAUAUUUUCCACAUACCCAAUAAAUUAUUAAACACCAAAAAGCAAAAUUAUAAUAAUAUGUUUUUAUAAUUAAAUAUUAUAUUUAUCGGUGCGUUACAAUUUAGUACAAAUUUUAAAAUUCCCCAAAAUAAGUCCUACCUUUCCACAAAUUCGGCCAUGGAUAACUUUGUGCCCUCGGAUGGUAUUAAUAUCCAGAUAAAUUAACGGUUUUCGUUACAUUCGUAAAAACUUUUAUCCAAAUUAAUUUUUCGCUGCACCUAAUUGUAAUUUGUUUUUUUCGUUUUAUGGGCGUUAUAAAUGGACCAUUUCCGCCUUUUUACUUUUAAUCGCAAACAAGGUAUAAAAAUUUAAAUGUUUUUUUUCCAAACGUUUUUAUCGCAAAUAAACUCCAAACGGUGCUAAGGAAAAAUUUCGGUAUUAUAAUAAUAUGCGAAUAAUUGAAAAUAUUAUGGAAAUUAU